GACGAACGCUGGCGGCGUGCUUAACACAUGCAAGUCGAACGGUGAUGCUCCAGCUUGCUGGAGUGGAUCAGUGGCGAACGGGUGAGUAACACGUGAGCAACCUGCCCCAGACUCUGGAAUAAGCGCUGGAAACGGCGUCUAAUACUGGAUACGAAACUGGCCCGCAUGGGCAUGGUUUGGAAAGUUUUUCGGUUUGGGAUGGGCUCGCGGCCUAUCAGCUUGUUGGUGAGGUAAUGGCUCACCAAGGCGACGACGGGUAGCCGGCCUGAGAGGGCGACCGGCCACACUGGGACUGAGACACGGCCCAGACUCCUACGGGAGGCAGCAGUGGGGAAUAUUGCACAAUGGGCGAAAGCCUGAUGCAGCGACGCCGCGUGAGGGAUGACGGCCUUCGGGUUGUAAACCUCUUUCAGCAGGGAAGAAGCGAAAGUGACGGUACCGGCAGAAGAAGCACCGGCUAACUACGUG
Molecule: ribosomal RNA, 468 nt
Filed under: uncultured bacterium
Lineage: Bacteria
Description: partial 16S ribosomal RNA
Rfam family: Bacterial small subunit ribosomal RNA
Source: RNAcentral